UAUUCUGCCCCAGCGGGAAGGAUGAGAAGCUUCGACUAAGGUUCGAUUCGAGCGUUAGCGAGAAAGCGUUGCCGCAGGCAACGACCCGAAGGG
Molecule: small RNA, 93 nt
Filed under: Citrobacter sp. Cb007
Lineage: Bacteria; Pseudomonadati; Pseudomonadota; Gammaproteobacteria; Enterobacterales; Enterobacteriaceae
Description: partial RtT sRNA
Rfam family: RtT RNA
About the family: This family represents a bacterial cis-regulatory element known as RtT RNA. The exact function of RtT is unknown although it is thought that it may be involved in changing the cellular response in relation to amino acid starvation.
Source: RNAcentral